RNAcentral lists this ribosomal RNA (796 nucleotides) under Marilyna darwinii (Darwin toadfish). RNAcentral's name for it is "partial 12S ribosomal RNA". It matches the Rfam family "Bacterial small subunit ribosomal RNA", at positions 6 to 1348 of the family's 1533-position model. Lineage: Eukaryota; Metazoa; Chordata; Actinopteri; Tetraodontiformes; Tetraodontidae. The record is from RNAcentral.
UAAAAGCUUGGUCCUGACUUUGCUAACAACCCUAGUCGAACUUACACAUGCAAGUAUCCGCACCCCAGUGAAAACACCCCCAACCGCUCUGCCAAGAACAUUGAAAACUGGUAUCAGGCACACACACAAUGUAGCCCAAGACACCUAGCUUUGCCACACCCCCAAGGGAUUUCAGCAGUGAUAAACAUUAGGCCAUAAGUGAAAACUUGACCUAGUUACGACUAUUAGGGCCGGUCAAACUCGUGCCAGCCACCGCGGUUAGACGUGUGACCCAAGUUGUUAGCCCCCGGCGUAAAGGGUGGUUAAAGUACAAAACCCACUGAGGUCGAACACCCUCAAGGCUGUUAUACGCUUCCGAGGAAAUGAAGAACAACCACGAAAGUAACCUCACCAUACUUGAACCCACGAAAGCUAGGGCACAAACUGGGAUUAGAUACCCCACUAUGCCUACCCCUAAACAUGACAUAAUAUUACAACUAUGCAUUCGCCUGGUUACUACGAGCACUAGCUUGAAAACCAAAGGACUUGGCGGUGCUUUAAACCCAUCUAGAGGAGCCUGUUUUAGAACCGAUCUUCCCCGUUUAACCUUACCCCUUCUUGCUCAAACCGCCUAUAUACCGCCGUCGCCAGCUUACCUCAUGAGAGUUAAACAGUAGGCAAAAUUGGCACAGCCAAAAAAGUCAGGUCGAGGUGUAGCCCAUGAAGGGGCAUAAAAUUGGCUACAUUCUCUUCUAAGAGAACCACGAAAGAUGUGUUGAAACACACAUCUGAAGGUGGAUUUAGCAGUAAGCAAGAA